GUCCUAACCAAAUCUCGUGCCAGCAGUUGCGGUAAGACGAGGAGGGCAAGCGUUAAUCAUCAUAAAUAGGUCUAAAGGGUCCGUAGAUGAAUUAGUAAGUCUCCUAACAAGAGAAACUACUAGUUUAGAGUAUUCUAGAGAAUUUCUAGUACUUAAAGUGGAUGGAUGAAAUCAAACGAUACUUUAAGGACAGUUAAGUGAAGACAAGAAUUCAUAGAAAAACUGACAUUGAGGGACGAAGGUCAGGGUAGCAAACCGGAUUCGAUACCCGAUUAGUCCUGACAGUAAACGAUGAAUGUUAAAUUAAUAAAAUUAAUUAAAGUGAAGACUAAAACAUUCCACCUGGAGAGUACAUUCGCAAGGAUGAAAUCCAAGACAUUAGGCGGUUACAGGCAUCAGCAGUUAAGC
RNAcentral lists this ribosomal RNA (408 nucleotides) under Neoaidaea tothii. RNAcentral describes it as "SSU rRNA". It matches the Rfam family "Bacterial small subunit ribosomal RNA", at positions 488 to 938 of the family's 1533-position model. The record is from RNAcentral. Lineage: Eukaryota; Fungi; Ascomycota; Lipomycetes; Lipomycetales; Lipomycetaceae.